RNAcentral lists this non-coding RNA (189 nucleotides) under Bacillus sp. (in: firmicutes). RNAcentral also lists the same sequence under 1 other name. Lineage: Bacteria; Bacillati; Bacillota; Bacilli; Caryophanales; Bacillaceae. The record is from RNAcentral.
AAAAUAUCUUUUAUAACAGGUGCUGAAAUUGUUGAAAUAUCAGCUUAAAAGGGAAGUUGGUUAAAUUCCGACGCGGUCCCGCCACUGUAAAUGCGAGCAACCUAUACUUUGCCACUGCCAGCAAUUGGCGGGAAGGCAUAGGAAGCGAUGACCAUGAGCCAGGAGACCUGCCUGUUUAUUGCACUGAAG